This 603-nucleotide ribosomal RNA is filed under the name Heterochelus sp. Group1 Kulzer. Its description in RNAcentral is "partial 16S large subunit ribosomal RNA". It matches the Rfam family "Bacterial large subunit ribosomal RNA", at positions 1844 to 2740 of the family's 2925-position model. The record is from RNAcentral. Lineage: Eukaryota; Metazoa; Arthropoda; Insecta; Coleoptera; Scarabaeidae.
UUUAAGGUCUAACCUGCCCAAUGAUAUUUAAAUGGCUGCGGUAUUUUGACCGUGCAAAGGUAGCAUAAUCAUUAGUUUUUUAAUUAGAAGCUGGAAUGAAUGGUUGGACGAGAAAAAAUCUGUCUCAAUUUAAGUUAAUUAGAAUUUUAUUUUUAAGUUAAAAAGCUUAGAUAGUAUUAAAAGACGAGAAGACCCUAUAGAGUUUUAUAUUUAUUUAUAUAGUAUAAAUUAUUUAUGUGUAUUAUAUAAACAAAUAUUUUAUUGGGGUGAUAUAAAAAUUAAAUAAACUUUUAUUAGUAUAUAACAUAUAUUUAUGAUUUAAUGAUCCAUUAUUUAUGAUUAUAAGAUUAAAUUACCUUAGGGAUAACAGCGUAAUUUUUUAGAAAGUUCUUAUUGAAUAAAAAGUUUGCGACCUCGAUGUUGGAUUAAAAUUUACUUUUGGUGUAGGAGCUAAUGAGUUAGGUCUGUUCGACCUUUAAAAUUUUACAUGAUCUGAGUUUAAACCGGUGUGAGCCAGGUUGGUUUCUAUCUUUAAUAAAAUAGUAUAUUUUAGUACGAAAGGAUUUGGUAUAUAUAAAAUUUAUUUUUAUGUGAAUAAUAUUA